Long non-coding RNA from Scylla paramamosain (green mud crab), 672 nucleotides. RefSeq lists it as uncharacterized. The record is from RefSeq and is a predicted model, not a curated record. Lineage: Eukaryota; Metazoa; Arthropoda; Malacostraca; Decapoda; Portunidae. The transcript is spliced from 5 exons.
GCCAAUAGCAGCAUAGUAACUCAACAGGAAUCAGUAUGCCGCGAGCCAUGGAGGGGUGAGGGUGUCGGUCGCUGCCUCGUGGAAGAAAAGCGAGAUAGGACCGAGUCAAGCGGUUCGGAGCUUCGCCUGUGUGUACUGAAGCCUGACAGCGCUGCCAGCCUCCCUGGAACUCUCUCCCACGCGUCACCGAUGAAGUUGUUCGCAGACACCCCCGUGCGCUGGAAUACCUCGCCAGUGGGGACAGAUGGGUAGCCAGCAGGCCAGGCACACACACCCAGGACAGGCCCACAGACAGCUCCGGGUAGAUGGCCUGACGUACGUACACACGCCUUGAUGAGUCCAGCGCCCACACCAGGUGAAGCCGCGCCCCCACAAACACCUGGCAUGGCAGGGAGGGGGUGGAGAGAGAGUGAGAGGGAGAAGGGCUCCACUUGUAUCCAGGCAGGGGGCAGGGCCUUGGCGUGGCAGGGGGUGAGGGGGCCCUGCCGCAUGUACACCCCACCCUGCGUGUCCACCCCCCACACUACCUCUGUGCCGCAGGAGAGGUGGCAUAGCUGGAUAUCACCUGUGGGGUUUGGACAGGAGAGAGAGAGAGAGAGAGAGAGAGAGAGAGAGAGAGAGAGAGAGAGAGAGAGAGAGAGAGAGAGAGAGAGAGAGAGAGAGAGAGAGAGA